This 477-nucleotide ribosomal RNA is filed under the name Trichoderma novae-zelandiae. Its description in RNAcentral is "partial small subunit ribosomal RNA". The record is from RNAcentral. Lineage: Eukaryota; Fungi; Ascomycota; Sordariomycetes; Hypocreales; Hypocreaceae.
ACUAAAUAAUGUUUAAUAUUUAAUUUAUAAUUAUAAUAUUAAAUCUUAAUCUAACCUAUGGCAUUCAUCAUUUACUGCAAAGACUACUUGGGUAUCUAAUCCUGGUUUGUGCUCUGUGCCUUCGUCCUUUAACGUCAGUUUUUACAUAGAAGGCUGCCUUCGCCUUUACCGAGUCCCUUUGGUAUCAUAGAAUUUCAUCUCUCCUCCUCAAGUACUGCCCUCUUACAUAAAACUCUAGUCAAGUACUAACAUUCUAGAAGCUAUAUUGACCGCCUAGGUACCCUUUAAACCUAAUUAAGAUGAAUAACACUAGUCUCUUACGUAUUACCGCGACUGCUGGCACGCAAUUAGUCAAGACACGAUAUAUAUACKGUCAUUAUCAAUAUAUAAACAAAGCUUAUUCAAUUUUAAUACAAUCCUAUAGACAUAUUCAAAGAUAUGAUCAAAAUAGGCUUGCCACUUCUCCAAGUUGCCAGU